UACCAGCUCUCCGAGUGGUAGGGAUGAUUAUUGGGCUUAAAGCGUCCGUAGCCGGCUUAGCAGGUUUCCUGUUAAACCCAGCGACUCAAUCGUUGGAUCGCGGGAAAUGCUACUAGGCUAGGAGGCGGGAGAGGUCAACGGUACUUCUGGGGUAGGGGUGAAAUCCUAUAAUCCCGGGAGGACCACCAGUGGCGAAGGCUGUUGACUAGAACGCGCUCGACGGUGAGGGACGAAAGCUGGGGUAGCAAACCGGGAUUAGAUACCCGGGUAGUCCCAGCUGUAAACGAUGCGAGCUAGGUGUUGGGAUGGCUACGGGCCAUUUCAGUGCCGCAGGGAAGCCAUUAAGCUCGCCGCCUGGGGAGUACGGCCGCAAGGCUGAAACUUAAGGAAUUGGCGGGGGAGCACCACAAGGCGUGAAGCUUGCGGUUC
Molecule: ribosomal RNA, 429 nt
Filed under: uncultured archaeon
Lineage: Archaea
Description: bacterial SSU rRNA
Rfam family: Archaeal small subunit ribosomal RNA
Source: RNAcentral